This 460-nucleotide ribosomal RNA is filed under the name uncultured bacterium. RNAcentral describes it as "partial 16S ribosomal RNA". It matches the Rfam family "Bacterial small subunit ribosomal RNA", at positions 338 to 795 of the family's 1533-position model. The record is from RNAcentral.
CCUACGGGAGGCUGCAGUGAGGAAUAUUGGUCAAUGGACGAGAGUCUGAACCAGCCAAGUAGCGUGAAGGAUGACUGCCCUAUGGGUUGUAAACUUCUUUUAUAUGGGAAUAAAAUGUUCCACGUGUGGGAUUUUGUAUGUACCAUAUGAAUAAGGAUCGGCUAACUCCGUGCCAGCAGCCGCGGUAAUACGGAGGAUCCGAGCGUUAUCCGGAUUUAUUGGGUUUAAAGGGACCGUAGGUGGAUUGUUAAGUCAGUCGUGAAAGUUUGCGGCUCAACCGUAAAAUUGCAGUUGAAACUGGCAGUCUUGAGUACAGUAGAGGUGGGCGGAAUUCGUGGUGUAGCGGUGAAAUGCUUAGAUAUCACGAAGAACUCCGAUUGCGAAGGCAGUUCACUGGACUGCAACUGACACUGAGGCUCGAAAGUGUGGGUAUCAAACAGGAUUAGAUACCCUUGUAGUC